CAAGUCCCCGAGGAGCAGCUCCGAGGCCCGAGCGCGCGGCUGAGAGGCGCCGCCGCCGCCGCCGCCGCCGGGAUGCGCUCUGCCUAGCGAGACUGCCGAGAGACGCCUGAAGGCCACCGCGCCAAGGACACGCGGCCCGCCGCUCCUCGCGCGCCCGAGCCCGCACGCCGCCAGUGCCGGAGCCGCGGAGAGCGCGAGCGAAGGGCGGCAGGAGGGAGAGCGCGCGGGAGGCAGCCCCUCCUCAGCGAGCCAUGCGUGCCGCGAGCAGCUGAGGAGCCGCCAGGCGCCGCUGCCAAGUCUCCGCUCCGCUUUUGUCUUGCCCUCCAGUGAAUGGGAAGAUGGAGAUGGAUGUGGAGGGAGUUUCUCCGCGCCCGGAGCCCAUCCCCCGCUCCCAGGGGGCUGGCGGAGCCUGCCCGGCGCCGCCACCGCCGCCCCAGCCCCAGCCCCAGCCGCCGCCGCCGCCGCAGCAGCUGGCUCAGGAUGAACUGCCCGGCGAGAGUGCCGGCGCCGAGGACAGCGACGAUCCCGAGGCGAGAGCCAGCGGCGAGCGAGGAGAGGGCAAGAACUUUGAGACCUCUGGGCGGUCUUAGAAUCACCUCAAGCCUCCAGUCCAGGAUACGCCUGCCUAGGGGAGUUCCAGGGACAGGUGGCAGACAUCACAGCCUGCGAGGCGAUGGGUACCGCAAUGAGCUCACCACAAAUCUCCAAGACUCCAAGCCACUCUCUGUUCCCAAGCAUAAAGCUAUGCUUCUGGAGGGGCAGCAAGAAACAACCUGGGACCAGGUGAGGACCCAUGCACGUCCCUGUCCUCCUCCACCCCAUCACUCUUUAGCUGUCUGUUUUUUUUCCCCUUGGUUGAUGGAACUUUCUAUGCGUGUCCUCCCACAGGCUCCACUUCUUGGCAAGAGGACAGAGCAUCUUCUCGGGUGUCCAGGGGGCUGCUGA
RNAcentral lists this long non-coding RNA (945 nucleotides) under Oryctolagus cuniculus (rabbit). RNAcentral's name for it is "lncRNA (ENSOCUG00000034669.1)". The record is from RNAcentral. Lineage: Eukaryota; Metazoa; Chordata; Mammalia; Lagomorpha; Leporidae.